GCGCCUGUAGCUCAGAUGGAUAGAGCGCAACUUUGCGGAAGUUGAGGUCGCAGGUUCGAGCCCUGCCAGGCGUACCA
This 77-nucleotide transfer RNA is filed under the name candidate division WWE3 bacterium. RNAcentral describes it as "tRNA-Arg". It matches the Rfam family "tRNA". Rfam says of the family: Transfer RNA (tRNA) molecules are approximately 80 nucleotides in length. Their secondary structure includes four short double-helical elements and three loops (D, anti-codon, and T loops). The record is from RNAcentral. Lineage: Bacteria; candidate division WWE3.